This 1058-nucleotide ribosomal RNA is filed under the name Selenocheir sinuata. RNAcentral describes it as "partial large subunit ribosomal RNA". The record is from RNAcentral. Lineage: Eukaryota; Metazoa; Arthropoda; Diplopoda; Polydesmida; Xystodesmidae.
UAUUCUAUUAAGGAUUAUUGUGGUUAUUAUAACAUAUUGGAUUAGUAUUAUGAGUGAAAAUUUUAGUUUAUUUAUAGAGUAAAGAGUACUGUUUAGGAAAUUGAUAAUUUGUAUUAAAUAUUAGGUUUUUUAUUACCUUUUGUAUUAGGGUUUUUUAAUUAAAUAUAAAGUUAUUUAUUUCUUGAUGAAUAUCGAGCUAUUAUUUAAGAGUAUUGGUUUUGUUGCAUAAAAUUUUUUAUUAUUUAAUGGUUAUGAAAUAUUAUUCAAGUUAUUUUUUAUCUAGUUUUCUAAGGAGUAUAAUGGUAGAUAUUAAUAUUAUGGAGGUAAGCGGGGAUUAGCUUGUUUAUUUUUUAUAUAUUUAGUUUUAUGUUGUUUAUUGGUGAAGUUGAAAGUUCUUAGUUUUAUGAUGUUAUUAUAAAUUAAAUUUUAUUUGUUAAUUUUUUUUAAUUAUGUUUGAAUUAGAAAUGUUAUUAUAAUUUUAAUUUUUAUGAUAUAAUGAUAAAAUUAGUAAUAUGUAAUUUAUAAAAUUGGUUGUUGAAUUAUUAUAAACAAUAGGUUAUGAGGGUAUAUUAAGGAUGAAGAAUUCGGCAAAAAUUAACCUCUGACUGUUUAGCAAAAACAUUGUUUUUUGUUAAUAUAAAAAAUAAGUUCUGUCCGCUGCUGUUUAGUGAAGGGCUGCAGUAUUUUGACUGUAUGAAGGUAGCAUAAUCAUUAGCUUUUUAAUUGUGAGCUGGUAUGAAGGUGAAACAGGGGUUGACUAUUUUGUUUUUAAUUAGUGAAUUUUAUAUUUAUGUGAAAAAUCAUGAGUGUGUUAAAGGGACAAGAAGACCCUAGUAAGUUUUAUUUUCUAUUAUAAUGCAUAUAUAGGUUUUAAAAUUAGUAUAAUUUAUGGUUUGGAGGUUUGACUGGGGCGGUAUGUUAAGAAACAUUAUUUAUUUUUUAAUUUUUGAUAGCGAUUUUUGGACCUAAGUAGGUUAGUUGAGUGUAAAACUACUGUAGGGAUAACAGCGUAAUUUUUUUUGAGAGUUCUUAUUGACAGAAAAGUUUGCGACCUCGAU